RNAcentral lists this ribosomal RNA (254 nucleotides) under uncultured bacterium. RNAcentral describes it as "partial 16S ribosomal RNA". It matches the Rfam family "Bacterial small subunit ribosomal RNA", at positions 524 to 776 of the family's 1533-position model. The record is from RNAcentral.
UACAGAGGGUGCGAGCGUUGUUCGGAAUUACUGGGCGUAAAGCGCGCGCAGGCGGCUUCGUAAGUCUGUCGGUCAAAUGCCGGGGCUCAACCCCGAGCGUGCCGGGGAUACUGGGAGGCUGGAGACAGGUAGAGGCAAGCGGAAUUCCGGGUGUAGCGGUGGAAUGCGUAGAGAUCCGGAAGAACACCGGAGGCGAAGGCGGCUUGCUGGACCUGGUCUGACGCUGAGGCGCGAAAGCGUGGGGAGCGAACAGG